RNAcentral lists this ribosomal RNA (445 nucleotides) under uncultured bacterium. Its description in RNAcentral is "SSU rRNA". It matches the Rfam family "Bacterial small subunit ribosomal RNA", at positions 26 to 518 of the family's 1533-position model. The record is from RNAcentral.
AGAGCGAACGCUGGCGGCAGGCCUAACACAUGCAAGUCGAACGGACUCUUCGGAGUUAGUGGCGGACGGGUGAGUAACACGUGGGAACGUGCCUUUUGGUUCGGAAUAGCUCCUGGAAACGGGUGGUAAUGCCGAAUGUGCCCUUCGGGGAAAGAUUUAUCGCCAUUAGAGCGGCCCGCGUCUGAUUAGCUAGUUGGUGAGGUAAAGGCUCACCAAGGCUACGAUCAGUAGCUGGUCUGAGAGGAUGACCAGCCACAUUGGGACUGAGACACGGCCCAAACUCCUACGGGAGGCAGCAGUGGGGAAUCUUGCGCAAUGGGCGAAAGCCUGACGCAGCCAUGCCGCGUGUAUGAUGAAGGUCUUAGGAUUGUAAAAUACUUUCACCGGUGAAGAUAAUGACUGUAGCCGGAGAAGAAGCCCCGGCUAACUUCGUGCCAGCAGCCGC